GACGAACGCUGGCGGCGUGCUUAACACAUGCAAGUCGAACGGGACCGUCUGGUCUAUUUUCUCGCGGGUGGGUACCGCGUGGGCACCUGGCUGUGUGAUCCGCGAGACCCCUCCCACGAGGUUGUAUUUACGCCUGGUGUCCUCGGACUAAUGAGUUAUAGGCUUUGGGUGGGCCCGCGGUGGUUUAGCUAGUUGGUAGGGUGAAUGCCGACCAAGGCGCCGAUCCACAGCUGGUCUGAGAGGAUGAUCAGCCACACUGGGACUGAGACACGGCCCAGACUCCUACGGGAGGCAGCAGUGGGGAAUAUUGGACAAGGGGCGAAAGCCUGAUCCAGCAAUGCCGCGUGAGUGAUGAAGGCCUUAGGGUUGUAAAGCUCUUUUACCCGGGAUGAUAAUGACAGUACCGGGAGAAUAAGCGCCGGCUAACUCCGUG
This 433-nucleotide ribosomal RNA is filed under the name uncultured bacterium. Its description in RNAcentral is "partial 16S ribosomal RNA". It matches the Rfam family "Bacterial small subunit ribosomal RNA", at positions 28 to 507 of the family's 1533-position model. The record is from RNAcentral.